Non-coding RNA from Hanseniaspora uvarum DSM 2768, 71 nucleotides. The record is from Rfam. NCBI's taxonomy places the organism in Eukaryota, Fungi, Ascomycota, Saccharomycetes, Saccharomycodales, Saccharomycodaceae.
GCAUCGGUGGUUUAAUGGUAAAAUUCAACGUUGCCAUCGUUGAGCUCCGGGUUCGAUUCCCGGCCGAUGCA